GGGAUCCGAACGGGUGCACGCGAUGCUUGCUCUGUGGGAUCAGUGGCGAACGGGUGAGUUCACGUGAGCUCCCUGCCCCUGACUCUGGGAUAAGCGCUGGAUACGGCGUCUAAUACUGGAUAUGUGACGUGAUCUCAUGGUCUGCGUCUGGAAAGAAUUGCGGUUGGGGAUGGGCUCGCGGCCUAUCAGCUUGUUGGUGAGGUAAUGGCUCACCAAGGCGUCGACGGGUAGCCGGCCUGAGAGGGUGACCGGCCACACUGGGACUGAUACACGGCCCAGACUCCUACGGGAGGCAGCACUGGGGAAUAUUGCACAAUGGGCGCAAGCCUGAUGCAGCAACGCCGCGUGAGGGACGACGGCCUUCGGGUUGUAAACCUCUUUUAGCAGGGAAGAAGCGAAAGUGACGGUACCUGCAGAAAAAGCGCCGGCUAACUACGUGCCAGCAGCCGCGGUAAUACGUAGGGCGCAAGCGUUAUCCGGAAUUAUUGGGCGUAAAGAGCUCGUAGGCGGUUUGUCGCGUCUGCUGUGAAAUCCGGAGGCUCAACCUCCGGCCUGCAGUGGGUACGGGCAGACUAGAGUGCGGUAGGGGAGAUUGGAAUUCCUGGUGUAGCGGUGGAAUGCGCAGAUAUCAGGAGGAACACCGAUGGCGAAGGCAGAUCUCUGGGCCGUAACUGACGCUGAGGAGCGAAAGGGUGGGGAGCAAACAGGCUUAGAUACCCUGGUAGUCCACCCCGUAAACGUUGGGAACUAGUUGUGGGGUCCAUUCCACGGAUUCCGUGACGCAGCUAACGCAUUAAGUUCCCCGCCUGGGGAGUACGGCCGCAAGGCUAAAACUCAAAGGAAUUGACGGGGACCCGCACAAGCGGCGGAGCAUGCGGAUUAAUUCGAUGCAACGCGAAGAACCUUACCAAGGGCUUGACAUAUACGAGAACGGGCCAGAAAUGGUCAACUCUUUGGACACUCGUAAACAGGUGGUGCAUGCUGUCGUCAGCUCGUGUCGUGAGAUGUUGGGUUAAGUCCCGCAACGAGCGCAACCCCUCGUUCUAUGUUGCCAGCACGUAAUGGUGGGAACUCAUGGGAUACUGCCGGCUCACUCGGAGGAGGUGGGGAUGACGUCAAAUCAUCAUGCCCUAUGUCUGGGCUCACGCAUGCUACAUGACGUACAAAGGGCUGCAUACGUGAGGUGGAGCGAUCCUAAAAGCGUUCCAGUCCGAUGGAGGUCUGCACCUCGACUCAUGAGUCGGAUCGUCUGGGUAUAUCGAACCUUGGGAACGUGUCUCAUAUCGUUGACACUG
RNAcentral lists this ribosomal RNA (1295 nucleotides) under Microbacterium oxydans. Its description in RNAcentral is "bacterial SSU rRNA". It matches the Rfam family "Bacterial small subunit ribosomal RNA", at positions 44 to 1364 of the family's 1533-position model. The record is from RNAcentral. Lineage: Bacteria; Bacillati; Actinomycetota; Actinomycetes; Micrococcales; Microbacteriaceae.